CAACUAUGAGAAAGUGGGUUGGACUAGACAAUCUCAGGAGAUGACUUCGUUCCUCAACUACGGAAAUGUAGUGAAAAUUUAUAUCAUGGAAAGAUUACCAUCUCAAGAAAUAGAAAGCCAGAUGAAUUCCUUAGCUCCUGGGACCUUCUGCAGAUUUACAAAUAUAUUGACAAGGAUGCUUGGUGCUCCAUCACUGCUUUCUGUCUUGGCAUCCAGUUUGCC
Molecule: long non-coding RNA, 222 nt
Filed under: Gallus gallus (chicken)
Lineage: Eukaryota; Metazoa; Chordata; Aves; Galliformes; Phasianidae
Source: RNAcentral